GAUGAACGCUGGCGGCGUGCCUAAUACAUGCAAGUCGAGCGAACAGACGAGGAGCUUGCUACUCUGACGUUAGCGGCGGACGGGUGAGUAACACGUGGAUAACCUACCUAUAAGACUGGGAUAACUUCGGGAAACCGGAGCUAAUACCGGAUAAUAUAUUGAACCGCAUGGUUCAAUAGUGAAAGACGGUUUUGCUGUCACUUAUAGAUGGAUCCGCGGCACAUUAGCUAGUUGGUAAGGUAACGGCUUACCAAGGCAACGAUGCGUAGCCGACCUGAGAGGGUGAUCGGCCACACUGGAACUGAGACACGGUCCAGACUCCUACGGGAGGCAGAAGUAGGGAAUCUUCCGCAAUGGGCGAAAGCCUGACGGAGCAACGCCGCGUGAGUGAUGAAGGUCUUCGGAUCGUAAAACUCUGUUAUUAGGGAAGAACAAAUGUGUAAGUAACUAUGCACGUCUUGACGGUACCUAAUCAGAAAGCCACGGCUAACUACGUG
This 497-nucleotide ribosomal RNA is filed under the name uncultured bacterium. RNAcentral's name for it is "partial 16S ribosomal RNA". It matches the Rfam family "Bacterial small subunit ribosomal RNA", at positions 28 to 507 of the family's 1533-position model. The record is from RNAcentral.